GAUGAACGCUGGCGGCGUGCCUAAUACAUGCAAGUCGAGCGAACAGACGAGGAGCUUGCUCCUCUGACGUUAGCGGCGGACGGGUGAGUAACACGUGGAUAACCUACCUAUAAGACUGGGAUAACUUCGGGAAACCGGAGCUAAUACCGGAUAAUAUAUUGAACCGCAUGGUUCAAUAGUGAAAGACGGUUUUGCUGUCACUUAUAGAUGGAUCCGCGCCGCAUUAGCUAGUUGGUAAGGUAACGGCUUACCAAGGCAACGAUGCGUAGCCGACCUGAGAGGGUGAUCGGCCACACUGGAACUGAGCCACGGUCCAGACUCCUACGGGAGGCAGCAGUAGGGAAUCUUCCGCAAUGGGCGAAAGCCUGACGGAGCAACGCCGCGUGAGUGAUGAAGGUCUUCGGAUCGUAAAACUCUGUUAUUAGGGAAGAACAAAUGUGUAAGUAACUAUGCACGUCUUGACUGUACCUAAUCAGAAAGCCACGGCUAACUACGUG
This 497-nucleotide ribosomal RNA is filed under the name uncultured bacterium. RNAcentral describes it as "partial 16S ribosomal RNA". It matches the Rfam family "Bacterial small subunit ribosomal RNA", at positions 28 to 507 of the family's 1533-position model. The record is from RNAcentral.